This 546-nucleotide ribosomal RNA is filed under the name uncultured bacterium. RNAcentral describes it as "partial 16S ribosomal RNA". It matches the Rfam family "Bacterial small subunit ribosomal RNA", at positions 356 to 895 of the family's 1533-position model. The record is from RNAcentral.
UGGGAAUUUUGGACAAUGGGCGCAAGCCUGAUCCAGCCAUGCCGCGUGCGGGAAGAAGGCCUUCGGGUUGUAAACCGCUUUUGUCAGGGAAGAAAUCUUCUGAGUUAAUACCUCGGGAGGAUGACGGUACCUGAAGAAUAAGCACCGGCUAACUACGUGCCAGCAGCCGCGGUAAUACGUAGGGUGCAAGCGUUAAUCGGAAUUACUGGGCGUAAAGCGUGCGCAGGCGGUUUUGUAAGACAGAGGUGAAAUCCCCGGGCUCAACCUGGGAACUGCCUUUGUGACUGCAGGGCUUGAGUGCGGCAGAGGGGGAUGGAAUUCCGCGUGUAGCAGUGAAAUGCGUAGAUAUGCGGAGGAACACCGAUGGCGAAGGCAAUCCCCUGGGCCUGCACUGACGCUCAUGCACGAAAGCGUGGGGAGCAAACAGGAUUAGAUACCCUGGUAGUCCACGCCCUAAACGAUGUCAACUGGUUGUUGGGAAGGUUCCUUCUCAGUAACGUAGCUAACGCGUGAAGUUGACCGCCUGGGGAGUACGGCCGCAAGGUU